RNAcentral lists this ribosomal RNA (429 nucleotides) under Bacteroidota bacterium. RNAcentral describes it as "Bacteroidetes bacterium partial 16S ribosomal RNA". It matches the Rfam family "Bacterial small subunit ribosomal RNA", at positions 355 to 776 of the family's 1533-position model. Lineage: Bacteria; Pseudomonadati; Bacteroidota. The record is from RNAcentral.
UAGGGAAUCUUCCGCAAUGGACGCAAGUCUGACGGAGCAACGCCGCGUGCGUGAAGAAGGAUUUCGGUUCGUAAAACUCUGUUGUUAGAGAAGAACAGCGCAUAGAGUAACUGUUAUGCGUGUGACGGUAUCUAACCAGAAAGCCACGGCUAACUACGUGCCAGCAGCCGCGGUAUUACGUAGGUGGCAAGCGUUGUCCGGAUUUAUUGGGCGUAAAGCGAGCGCAGGCGGUCAAUUAAGUCUGAUGUGAAAGCCCCCGGCUCAACCGGGGAGGGUCAUUGGAAACUGGUUGACUUGAGUGCAGAAGAGGAGAGUGGAAUUCCAUGUGUAGCGGUGAAAUGCGUAGAUAUAUGGAGGAACACCAGUGGCGAAGGCGACUCUCUGGUCUGUAACUGACGCUGAGGCUCGAAAGCGUGGGUAGCAAACAGG